Molecule: non-coding RNA, 1874 nt
Organism: Camellia sinensis
Lineage: Eukaryota; Viridiplantae; Streptophyta; Magnoliopsida; Ericales; Theaceae
Source: RefSeq, a predicted model, not a curated record
UUUCUCUCUUAUUUGUCCUUCGUGUUUGCUUUCUGAGAAAACUCGGGAAAAUGGAAGAAAUUUAUUCGAUCUCGUGUUUUUUAACUUGUGAAAACUCAAUUAUAGCAGUUUAAAGGUGGGUUGUUUUGGUAUAUUGUAUCAUUGGGCUGCGAAAGUAAACAUUUUUAUCAUUAAGAUUGAGUUCGUAAAAUUUUCAUAGGUCUGCCUAAGAAGAUAUAAGGUUUGGUAAUGGUUUCAUUGUUUCAGCUCAAGAGACGGUUUUGUUUCAAUAAUCUGGAUGUGAGAUACCCAGUUUUGACAAAACAAGUGACAUUUUUACCAUGUGAGUAACAUUACAAGGAAAAAAAAAAAAGACAUUUUGACACUAUAACAUGCCAAAUUAUAGGUUUGCAUUGUCAUUUUGACAAAGACCGGUGUAAUUGCUACAUGUUAUUAUGUGAACCCUCCAAUAGGGUUAGUUAAAGGUUACCCACUAAAGUGGGUCUUACAAGCAACCAUAAGGUGGUUUAAUUAAAGAUGAGAGAGGUAUGAGGCACAUUCAAGCAUUUCCAUUGGAGAUGUUAUGUAGGGUGUUAGCGGAAGUGUUGGAGAUGUUAAGUUGUGUGUAAGUAUGUGUCAGUUAAAGUAUGUUAAGAGCUCAAAUGGACAUGUAAUGGCUUGCUAAUAGCAUAUUUAGUGGAGUGGCUAAUAAUACAGGUGUUAAAGUGUCCACAUAGGCAAAAGUGAGGCCCAAUUUCAGGUGUUAAGUGCUAAUUACCAAACACAUGCACUGAGUGCUCCAAUAGACUAACUAAAAAAAACUCACUAAACAUUAGGUCCUAUUGCAACUCAUUGCAAUGCUCAUGUUUUUUUUUUUUUUUAAAUAAAAAAAUAAAAAAAUAAAAAAAAGAGAUAUGGUUGAUAUGGCUAGCUAAAGUGCUAGGCACAGUUAGCAAAUAAGGUAGCAUUUGGUAACUUUGAGUUGUAUUUUAGUAGAUUCAAUGGAACACAAGAAAUUGCAUCUUAGUUGAUAACUGUGUAGUGUAUGACAAGAGGUGCUUAGCAGCUCCAAUGCAGAUGUUCUAACUAUGGCUGUGUGUCAUGUGUCAAAAUGCUGGCUAACUGUGGUGAGCAAUUUAGCUGAACAUGUUACACCAUUAUCUUUUCUUUUUUUAAAAAAAAGAAAUUUAAAAAAGGGAGCAUCAUCGGGGCACUCAUAGCAUUUUGGCAAUGGGUCCUACUUUUGCCCAUGUGGACAUCUUAACAAUCUAGUUUUUAACAUGCAUCGAAGCUCAUAAAAGCUCACCCACUAAAUGAUGACUCGAUGCUAAUAUCUCUCUAAGAGCAUCUCCAUGGGCAUGCUAUAACAGCUGUCAAAGUUUAAAUUGUAAUUAGAUCUCAAAAAAUUUGCUCUAGUGGUCUGCCAUCCCUUAUGCCAAAAAAAGGCAAUGCCAAACCUAUCAACAAAUAUUGUGGGUGUUUGGGAAGUAAGUUUUUUUAGUUGUACGAUAUUAUUGGAGGAAUUUUUUUUUGUGUUUGGGAAAAUAGUUGGGUUUUUUUGUGGUUGGAUGUGAUGUUUGUGAGAGAAAAAGUAAAAUGAUUAUGGGGUUUGAUGUGAUAUUUUGUUUGGAUUUGGUUUUUUUUGGUUUUGUAAAACAUUUGUCUUGUAGUGAAAAAAAUAAAAAAAAAAUCCGAAAACUAAGUUGCCAAACGCCGCCAUUGUAUCCCCACCCUUCUUAUCAUCUUCCUCAACUCAACAAAGACAUAUAUCACAACCAAAAAUAGAAUUAGACAUAAAUAAUAAAAAAAAGAAAUCCCAUUCAAAAAAAAUAACCAAAUGUUAAACUGCUUAAAUUACAAAAAUAAAAUUACCAAAAAGAGGAAAUGGUAGUUAA